This 120-nucleotide ribosomal RNA is filed under the name Helianthus annuus (common sunflower). The record is from RNAcentral. Lineage: Eukaryota; Viridiplantae; Streptophyta; Magnoliopsida; Asterales; Asteraceae.
GCUUGUGAUCAUACCCGCACUAAUGCACCAGAUCCCAUCAGAAUUCCGCAGUUAAGCGUGCUUCGGCGAGAGUAGUACUAGGAUGGGUGACCCCCUGGGAAGUCCUCGUGUUGCAACCCC